UCGAGCGAACAGACGAGGAGCUUGCUCCUCUGACGUUAGCGGCGGACGGGUGAGUAACACGUGGAUAACCUACCUAUAAGACUGGGAUAACUUCGGGAAACCGGAGCUAAUACCGGAUAAUAUAUUGAACCGCAUGGUUCAAUAGUGAAAGACGGUUUUGCUGUCACUUAUAGAUGGAUCCGCGCCGCAUUAGCUAGUUGGUAAGGUAACGGCUUACCAAGGCAACGAUGCGUAGCCGACCUGAGAGGGUGAUCGGCCACACUGGAACUGAGACACGGUCCAGACUCCUACGGGAGGCAGCAGUAGGGAAUCUUCCGCAAUGGGCGAAAGCCUGACGGAGCAACGCCGCGUGAGUGAUGAAGGUCUUCGGAUCGUAAAACUCUGUUAUUAGGGAAGAACAAAUGUGUAAGUAACUAUGCACGUCUUGACGGUACCUAAUCAGAAAGCCACGGCUAACUACGUGCCAGCAGCCGCGGUAAUACGUAGGUGGCAAGCGUUAUCCGGAAUUAUUGGGCGUAAAGCGCGCGUAGGCGGUUUUUUAAGUCUGAUGUGAAAGCCCACGGCUCAACCGUGGAGGGUCAUUGGAAACUGGAAAACUUGAGUGCAGAAGAGGAAAGUGGAAUUCCAUGUGUAGCGGUGAAAUGCGCAGAGAUAUGGAGGAACACCAGUGGCGAAGGCGACUUUCUGGUCUGUAACUGACGCUGAUGUGCGAAAGCGUGGGGAUCAAACAGGAUUAGAUACCCUGGUAGUCCACGCCGUAAACGAUGAGUGCUAAGUGUUA
RNAcentral lists this ribosomal RNA (781 nucleotides) under uncultured Staphylococcus sp. Its description in RNAcentral is "bacterial SSU rRNA". It matches the Rfam family "Bacterial small subunit ribosomal RNA", at positions 62 to 825 of the family's 1533-position model. The record is from RNAcentral. Lineage: Bacteria; Bacillati; Bacillota; Bacilli; Caryophanales; Staphylococcaceae.